AAUAAUUAAAAAAAUAUUAUGCACAAGUAAAUGAAUUACCAAUGUUCAAGCAUGUAUAAUUGUUUAGUACUUUAUAGUUUAUACUUUAUACUACUAGUCUAAUGCAAUAAUUAAAAAAAUAUUAACGUAACAAAAUUUCCUAAACAAUUUUUUAAAAGAUACAACUAUACAAGUCCACAAUUCUACAUAUAAUUGUCAAACACCUUUCUUAAAGUAAUACACUAAUACUACAUAUAAUAAUUAUAUAAUACAACAAUUUUAAUCCUUAUCUAACAAUUUAAUUACAAAUAAAAAAAAAAAAUUAAACAUCUACAAGCUCAACUUACAGUACUGUUGCUUGAGACUUUAAGAGCUUAAGACUUUGAGUAGUGCUUUACAGCUCACUCCCAACUCCCAAGAAGAGUCUGAAGAGUCUCAGAGACCCAGACUACUCCCAACUCCCAAGUAGUGCUCUAUUUUUCUUCAAAUUCCUAAAUUCCCACUCAAGAACUCAAUUAAAACCCAUUUUUCUCUCUCUUAAAAAUUACUUAAAGCUCAUCUUCAACCUCAAGAGUCAAGAGUCGAAGCUAAGUAAUCAGUGAUGGUAUGUUCGUCGGCCGGCGGCAAUGUUCUAUCCCCGACUCUAGGUUUCGUAGAUCUGAAAACGGGUCUGUAUUCUUUCAGCCUUUGAGUGCCACGAUGCCUCAAACUGGUCCAAGAAAACACUGUUGAUGCCUACUCUAGCUUCUGUAAUUUGCAUUACUCUCUUCCUCUUUAUUGAGGUCAAAGCGGGGAUGGCAUGAAUGGUAAGGUGGGGUUACAAUAACCUAAGUUGUGUUUGUUCUAUUGCUAUUGGGGUGAUGGCCAUAUGCUGUGUAGUUGAAUAAUUCCUUGUAAUUCAGAGGUCUACUUGCGGUCAUCCGGACUGAAUUACUGUAUCAUGAGUAAAUAUAUAUUGAUGUAAUAUAACAAAGUGUGCUGGUAGAGUUCUUGCUUGUUUGUACUCUUUAGGAAAUCAUUUCUCACUGUUCUUUGUCAUCUGUUACUACCCUAAAUAUCAUUUUCGUAUGCUGGACAGGCUUUCUUACAAUUUAUUUCUUAUUGAAAUCUUUGCAAGACAUUUUAGGGUGUGCACUUAUAUUAGUAGUGAUUAAUGUUUAAAGUGCAUGACAUAUUGUCAGCUGAUUUAUAGUUAAGGCCAGUGCCUUGUGGCAUAAUAACUUUACAAUUUUAUCCCUGCAUC
Molecule: long non-coding RNA, 1222 nt
Organism: Chenopodium quinoa (quinoa)
Lineage: Eukaryota; Viridiplantae; Streptophyta; Magnoliopsida; Caryophyllales; Amaranthaceae
Exons: 3
Source: RefSeq, a predicted model, not a curated record